ACAAGUAAGAAAGGGCGUACGGUGGAUGCCUAGGCUCUUGCAGGCGAUGAAGGACGUGAUAAGCUGCGAUAAGUCACGAGGAGGUGCAAAUAACCUUUGAUUCGUGAAUUUCCGAAUGGGACAACCUGGCUGUCUGAAGGACAGUCACACCACAAAUGUGGUGAGCGAACGCGGGGAACUGAAACAUCUUAGUACCCGUAGGAAGAGAAAAUAAAAAAUGAUUCCCCAAGUAGUGGCGAGCGAACGGGGAAGAGCCCAAACCAACGAUGUUCCGGCAUCGUUGGGGUUGUAGGACUGCAAUGUCGCAAGAAGGAUGGUGAGUGGAAGCGUUUGGAAAAUCGCUCCAAAGAUGGUGAUAGACCAGUACACGAAGCCAUACGAAGCGUAGCAGACUCCUGAGUAGCGCGGGACACGAGAAAUCCUGUGUGAAUCCGGCGGGACCAUCCGCUAAGGCUAAAUACUCGCAAGAGACCGAUAGCGAACCAGUACCGUGAGGGAAAGGUGAAAAGCACUGCGAAUAGCAGAGUGAAAAAGUUCCUGAAACCGUACGCCUACAAGCGGUUGGAGCACCUUAUGGUGUGACAGCGUGCCUUUUGCAUAAUGAACCUACGAGUUGCCGUCGCCGGCAAGGUUAAGAGCAAAGAUGCUCGGAGCCGAAGCGAAAGCGAGUCCUAACGAGGCGCCAAGUCAGCGGCGGCAGACGCGAAACCAAGUGAUCUACCCUUGUCCAGGUUGAAGUCCGGGUAACACCGGAUGGAGGACCGAACCAAUAAGCGUUGAAAAGCUUCUGGAUGAGGUGAGGGUAGGAGUGAAAGGCCAAUCAAACUUGGAGAUAGCUCGUACUCCCCGAAAUGCAUUUAGGUGCAGCCUCGGGUGUUCCCUACGUGAGGUAGAGCGACUGAUCGGAUGCGAGGGCUUCACCGCCUAUCAAGUCCGGACAAACUCCGAAUGCGCGUAGGUCAUAACCCGGGAGUGAGGGCAUGGGUGCUAAGGUCCGUGCCCGAGAGGAGAAGAAUCCAGACCGCCAGCUAAGGCCCCGAAAUAUGGGUUAAGUUAAACUAACGAAGUGCGGUUCCCGUGACAGCUAGGAUGUUGGCUUGGAAGCAGCCAUUCAUUCAAAGAGUGCGUAACAGCUCACUAGUCGAGGGACUGUGCAUGGAUAAUAAUCGGGUAUGAAACCCAUUGCCGAAGCUGCGGGACAUCAUACGAUGUCGGUAGGGGAGCAUUCCAGUGGCGUUGAAGGUAUGAGGACAACUCAUGCUGGAGCAUCUGGAAAAGCAAAUGUAGGUAUAAGUAACGAUAAAGAGUGUGAGAUGCACUCUCGCCGUAAGACUAAGGUUUCCCGGGCAACGUUAAUCGGCCCGGGGUGAGUCGGGACCUAAGGAUAAGCCGAAAGGCGAGGCCGAUGGCAGAAAGGGUUAAUAUUCCCUUACUACCUUUAUGGGCGACGCGGAGACGGAGAAGUGAAACUCUCGCGUGCAGACGGAAUAGCACGUUAAAGAGUGUAGACGUAGAUUAGGGUAGGCAAAUCCGCCCUAAGAGUCGAACUUGAUAGUACACAAAGCCUUCGGGCAGCGUGAUAGCAGAGGUAAGCAGGCUCCCAAGAAAAUCCGCUAAGCAUUAACCAUAGAGGUACCCGUACCGCAAACGGACACACGUAGUCGAGUAGAAUAUACUAAGGCGCUUGGAAGAUUCACGGUUAAGGAACUAGGCAAAUUGACCCCGUAACUUCGGAAUAAGGGGUCCUCACGCGAGUGAGGCGCAGAGAAUAGGUCCAGGCAACUGUUUAACAAAAACACAGGGCUGUGCGAAAUCGAAAGAUGAGGUAUACAGUCUGACACCUGCCCGGUGCCGGAAGGUUAAGAGGAGAUGUCAUCGCAAGAGAAGCAUUGAAUUGAAGCCCCGGUAAACGGCGGCCGUAACUAUAACGGUCCUAAGGUAGCGAAAUUCCUUGUCGGGU
Molecule: ribosomal RNA, 1960 nt
Filed under: metagenome
Description: bacterial LSU rRNA
Rfam family: Bacterial large subunit ribosomal RNA
Source: RNAcentral